GUACACUCCUGCGGGAGGCAGCAGUGGGGAAUUUUGGACAAUGGGCGAAAGCCUGAUCCAGCCAUGCCGCGUGCAGGAUGAAGGCCUUCGGGUUGUAAACUGCUUUUGUACGGAACGAAACGGCCUUUUCUAAUAAAGAGGGCUAAUGACGGUACCGUAAGAAUAAGCAACGGCUAACUACGUGCCAGCAGCCGCGGUAAUACGUAGGGUGCAAGCGUUAAUCGGAAUUACUGGGCGUAAAGCGUGCGCAGGCGGUUAUGUAAGACAGUUGUGAAAUCCCCGGGCUCAACCUGGGAACUGCAUCUGUGACUGCAUAGCUAGAGUACGGUAGAGGGGGAUGGAAUUCCGCGUGUAGCAGUGAAAUGCGUAGAUAUGCGGAGGAACACCGAUGGCGAAGGCAAUCCCCUGGACCUGUACUGACGCUCAUGCACGAAAGCGUGGGGAGCAAACAGGAUUAGAUACCCUUGUAGUCCCAU
Molecule: ribosomal RNA, 476 nt
Filed under: uncultured organism
Description: partial 16S ribosomal RNA
Rfam family: Bacterial small subunit ribosomal RNA
Source: RNAcentral